CUACGGGAGGCAGCAGCAAGGAAUCUUCCGCAAUGGGCGAAAGCCUGACGGAGCAACGCCGCGUGUGGGAUGACGCCUUUCGGGGUGUAAACCACUUUUCUCAGGGAAGAAGGUCUGACGGUACCUGAGGAAGAAGGACCGGCUAACUACGUGCCAGCAGCCGCGGUAAUACGUAGGGUCCGAGCGUUGUCCGGAGUUACUGGGCGUAAAGCGCGCGCAGGCGGCGGUGUAAGCAUGGCGUGAAAGCCCCAGGCUCAACCUGGGAGGGUCGUCGUGGACUGCACCGCUUGAGGGCGGUAGGGGCUGGUGGAAUGCCUGGUGUAGUGGUGAAAUGCGUAGAGAUCAGGCGGAACACCCGUGGCGAAGGCGGCCAGCUGGGCCGACCCUGACGCUGAGGCGCGAAGGCGUGGGGAGCGAACGGGAUUAGAUACCCGAGUAGUCC
Molecule: ribosomal RNA, 442 nt
Filed under: uncultured bacterium
Lineage: Bacteria
Description: bacterial SSU rRNA
Rfam family: Bacterial small subunit ribosomal RNA
Source: RNAcentral